RNAcentral lists this transfer RNA (66 nucleotides) under Trichuris sp. GHL-2013. RNAcentral describes it as "tRNA-Ile". Lineage: Eukaryota; Metazoa; Nematoda; Enoplea; Trichinellida; Trichuridae. The record is from RNAcentral.
AAGCAAAACCUAAUUGAUAGGGUCACAGUGAUAGUGAGAUUAAGUGCGCGACACUUGUUUAAAUAA